This 253-nucleotide ribosomal RNA is filed under the name uncultured bacterium. RNAcentral's name for it is "partial 16S ribosomal RNA". It matches the Rfam family "Bacterial small subunit ribosomal RNA", at positions 524 to 776 of the family's 1533-position model. The record is from RNAcentral.
UACAGAGGGUGCGAGCGUUAAUCGGAAUUAUUGGGCGUAAAGCGUGCGUAGACGGUUAUUUAAGUCGGAUGUGAAAGCCCCGGGCUCAACCUGGGAAUUGCAUUCGAGACUGAAUAGCUAGGGUGCGGUAGAGGGAAGCGGAAUUUCCGGUGUAGCGGUGAAAUGCGUAGAUAUCGGAAGGAACAUCAGUGGCGAAAGCGGCUUCCUGGACCAGCACCGACGUUCAGGCACGAAAGCGUGGGGAGCAAACAGG